Molecule: ribosomal RNA, 335 nt
Filed under: uncultured Fastidiosipila sp.
Lineage: Bacteria; Bacillati; Bacillota; Clostridia; Eubacteriales; Oscillospiraceae
Description: bacterial SSU rRNA
Rfam family: Bacterial small subunit ribosomal RNA
Source: RNAcentral
ACAGGUGGUGCAUGGUUGUCGUCAGCUCGUGUCGUGAGAUGUUGGGUUAAGCCCGCUAACGAGCGCAACCCUCGCUGUGUGUUACAAGUGUCACACAGGACCGCCGGGUCUUAAGCCGGAGGAAGGUGGGGAUGACGUCAAGUCAGCAUGGCCUUUAUGUCCAGGGCUACACACACGCUACAAUGGUCAGCACAAUAGGUAGCCAAGCCGCGAGGUGGAGCCAAUCCUCAAAGCUGGCCUCAGUUCAGAUCGCAGGCUGCAACCCGCCUGCAUGAAGUUGGAGUUGCUAGUAAACGCAGGUCAGCUAUACUGCGUUGAAUACGUUCCCGGGGAUU